GAUGAACGCUGGCGGCGUGCCUAAUACAUGCAAGUCGAGCGAACAGACGAGGAGCUUGCUCCUCUGACGUUAGCGGCGGACGGGUGAGUAACACGUGGAUAACCUACCUAUAAGACUGGGAUAACUUCGGGAAACCGGAGCUAAUACCGGAUAAUAUAUUGAACCGCAUGGUUCAAUAGUGAAAGACGGUUUUGCUGUCACUUAUAGAUGGAUCCGCGCCGCAUUAGCUAGUUGGUAAGGUAACGGCUUACCAAGGCGACGAUGCGUAGCCGACCUGAGAGGGUGAUCGGCCACACUGGACCUGAGACACGGUCCAGACUCCUACGGGAGGCAGCAGUAGGGAAUCUUCCGCAAUGGGCGAAAGCCUGACGGAGCAACGCCGCGUGAGUGAUGAAGGUCUUCGGAUCGUAAAACUCUGUUAGUAGGGAAGAACAAAUGUGUAAGUAACUAUGCACGUCUUGACGGUACCUAAUCAGAAAGCCACGGCUAACUACGUG
RNAcentral lists this ribosomal RNA (497 nucleotides) under uncultured bacterium. RNAcentral's name for it is "partial 16S ribosomal RNA". It matches the Rfam family "Bacterial small subunit ribosomal RNA", at positions 28 to 507 of the family's 1533-position model. The record is from RNAcentral.